CUUUGAUAGAAAAUACUUGAAAAUUUCAUUUUGGACUACAGGAACAUAAACUUUCAAUAUCAAGAUCAGUUUUGUUGAUUUUUUUCUUGUUUGUUCUACUGCUUUAAAGACUUUCCACAAUUUUAUAAUGAGUUAAGUAAAAAAUCCAAGGUAUUGAAGAGUCAAGGAAUAUUGACCCCCCUUUUUUACACCUGGUGUAAGUAAUGGGACUAUUAAAUGAUCAAAAGUGCAGUUAGGUCCUUUAACUGUUUUUAUUUACUAUCAGUUGAUACAAUUUAAGGUAUAAAACUUCCAUUUGAGAUAAUAAAUGUGAUUUUUGUUAGUUUUUGUAAUAUUUACAUCAGGCUAUGUUAUCAUACCUGCCAAGUUUUCAAAAUGCCCAUUGGGGUUUUGCAUGCAAGAUGGCUGCCAUAUUCCUAAAAAAAACCUUCAAGGGGGCCUUCAAGUACAGUGUAAUGUUGUUUGUUAGCUUCUUCAUACUUUUAUAAGCCCCAAUUCAUUGUAAAAUUAAUUGUUUUGUUAAAAUUGUGGACAUAAUUGCUCUUUAAAAAUUUCAAUUUCAAUUUGGUAGCCUCCAUGGGGGAAAUCCCCCGCAAAUAGUGACAGUUGGCAGGUAUGUGUUAUCUGCCAAAUACAUGCUAUGACGCAAUGAUAUAAGGGAUAAAAAUCAAAUAAUUUCAUUAAAUCUUCAUGACAACAACUUUUUUUGGUAGUAAAAAAACUAUGUUUUAAUGUUUAAUACCACAGAACAAACUUACUGUGCAUUUAUAACAAUUUGAGACAUUUUUUUAAAUGUAAAGCAUAUUGUCAGGGUGGAAAGCUAAAAAAAGCACAAAUUUCAGGUUAAAGCUCUAAAUUUGCAAUAUGUGACUUUUUGCCUCCAAAAAGAUUGAAAUGUGACUACUAUCACUUCAUAUGAUCAGUUGAGUAAUAAAAAUCAAUUGUUUUCUGAAUUUGGGGUUUCACCGCAUUUCCCUUAAAGGUGUCAGACCACCAAUUAAAAACCC
RNAcentral lists this long non-coding RNA (1007 nucleotides) under Mytilus galloprovincialis (Mediterranean mussel). Lineage: Eukaryota; Metazoa; Mollusca; Bivalvia; Mytilida; Mytilidae. The record is from RNAcentral.